CCUACGGGAGGCAGCAGUGAGGAAUAUUGGUCAAUGGCCGGGAGCCUGAACCAGCCAAGUCGCGUGAAGGAUGACUGCCCUACGGGUUGUAAACUUCUUUUGUCAGGGAACAAAGUGAGGGACGUGUGCCUCUUUGAGUGUACCUGAUGAAAAAGCAUCGGCUAACUCCGUGCCAGCAGCCGCGGUAAUACGGAGGAUGCGAGCGUUAACCGGAUUUAUUGGGUGUAAAGGGCGCGUAGGCGGGAUGUUAAGUCAGUUGUGAAAGCUUGCGGCUCAACCGUAGAACUGCAAUUGAAACUGGCAGUCUUGAGUAGAGGUGAGGUAGGUGGAAUUCGUGGUGUAGCGGUGAAAUGCGUAGAGAUCGCGAAGAACGCCGAUUGCGAAGGCAGCUUGCUAGACCGUAACUGACGCUGAUGCGCGAAAGCGUGGGUAGCAAACAGGAUUAGAUACCCGAGUAGUC
This 460-nucleotide ribosomal RNA is filed under the name uncultured bacterium. RNAcentral describes it as "partial 16S ribosomal RNA". It matches the Rfam family "Bacterial small subunit ribosomal RNA", at positions 338 to 795 of the family's 1533-position model. The record is from RNAcentral.